Gasterosteus aculeatus aculeatus (three-spined stickleback) is the source of this 1278-nucleotide long non-coding RNA. Lineage: Eukaryota; Metazoa; Chordata; Actinopteri; Perciformes; Gasterosteidae. The record is from Ensembl.
GUCCAUCACUCCCCUUCACACUGCACAUGUCACUUUCACUUGUCACUUUCUGUUUGCUGGUGCACUUUCUUUUUAAUUUUGAAAUAGCUUUAACGAACUGUUAUUCCUUUAUUUUUAAACUAACCCAUAGCCUUAUAUUUUAUUUUAUUCCUCCUGCACUGUUGUCUUGUCAUCCAUUGUCGUACUGUCUGCUGUUACGCACCAACCGCCAAGUCACAUUCCUUGUGUAUCUCACAGAUUAUGGUGAUUAAUGUUUCCUGAUUCCUGAGAAACACCUCAUCAUCAGCCUGAGAUCAUCAUCUCGCAUCUACAGAGGGACGAACAUCUUUGAAGUUUUAAGGAGUCUCCAUAAACCGGUUACUCUUCAUGGACACACAGCUGGGUUCAGGAUCAGGUCCAGGUCUCUGAUGGGUCCUGGUCACACAUGUAGAACCAGAGUCAGAGAGACAUGGAGACGUUGGGACAUGGAGAAGAGUGGAGGACAGUUGGAGAUGGUCCUCUCACCUCUGAGCUGUGGUCUGGCUGUCAUGUUCCCCACACAGAGGAGCUUCAGAGGGACGGACUCCGUCCUCUGGGUCCUCAGCCUGAUUCAUAGCAGAGUCCACAGCUUCACACCUUCACACCAACCUGCUGGGAGAACUCACAUGUUCUUUAUCUUCAUCAGGACAAACACACAGAGCUCAUCCACCUCAACACUAAAACUCUCAUGGGACACUUUGUGUUGUCGUCUUGUCUGAUGAAGGACUGAAGACGCUAAAGCGACUUACGUUGUCUUUUUUAACUCUUGGUUUUAACAUUUUACAUUUUCCUCAGGGACACUUUGACAUGAGACACGGAGCAGCUGGGGUUCGAACCGCCGACCCCGCGGUGCGUUUGCUGCCGGUUUAGAGUCUCGCUGACGGUCCUCGUGUCCCUUGAUUAAAAGGACAUCAUAGUUUUAAUGCACAAGCUGCGCUCUGUGGACACGGACACGACGUUACGGCUACAUUUAAUCAUGACGUUCUGAAUGUAAAGUCCGUCCUCAAACAGACGGAACGUCUCCGGUGGACAACAUCGGUCUUCCCGGUGCUGGAGGAGUCAGCCGGUCCCGUGGGAUUGCCACAACAUCUAAAAACACCUCCCUUCCCUCCCCCCCUCCUCCCUCCCUGCCUCUCUGCAUCCUCCAACAUCCGACACUGAGGGGGAGAAGAAGGGAACGAGAUGGACUGAAGAGAAGAAGAAGAGAUGUGGUAGGAACCGCCGAGGCUGCUGUUUAGUGUGUAUAUGAUAGAGUGUGUG